Small nuclear RNA from Rhinolophus ferrumequinum (greater horseshoe bat), 105 nucleotides. The record is from Ensembl. NCBI's taxonomy places the organism in Eukaryota, Metazoa, Chordata, Mammalia, Chiroptera, Rhinolophidae.
AUGCUCACUUCCACAGCACAUAUACCAAGAUAAGAACUGAUACAGAGAUUAGCAUAGCCCCUGUACAAGGACGACAAGCAAAUUCAUGCGAAGAAAAAAAACACA